UGGGGAAUAUUGGACAAUGGGCGAAAGCCUGAUCCAGCCAUGCCGCGUGUGUGAAGAAGGUCUUCGGAUUGUAAAGCACUUUAAGUUGGGAGGAAGGGCAUUAACCUAAUACGUUAGUGUUUUGACGUUACCGACAGAAUAAGCACCGGCUAACUCUGUGCCAGCAGCCGCGGUAAUACAGAGGGGGCAAGCGUUAAUCGGAAUUACUGGGCGUAAAGCGCGCGUAGGUUGUUUGUUAAGUUGGAUGUGAAAUCCCCGGGCGCAACCUGUGAACUGCAUUCAAAACUGACUGACUAGAGUAUGGUAGAGGGUGGUGGAAUUUCCUGUGUAGCGGUGAAAUGCGUAUAUAUAGGAAGGAACACCAGUGGCGAAGGCGACCACCUGGACUAAUACUGACACUGAGGUGCGAAAGCGUGGGGAGCAAACA
Molecule: ribosomal RNA, 427 nt
Filed under: uncultured bacterium
Lineage: Bacteria
Description: partial 16S ribosomal RNA
Rfam family: Bacterial small subunit ribosomal RNA
Source: RNAcentral